GGUUUCCUUGGAGGGGACGGUCCUCUCUCUCCAUAAAAGCAGGUUCCUCCCUUUCCAUAGAAGCAGCUUCCCCCCUUUCCAGAGAUUCAGGUUCCACCUUUCCAUAGAAGCAGGGUCCCCCCUUUCCAUAGAAGCAGCUUCCCCACUUUCCAGAGAAGCAGGGUCCCCCCUUUCCAUGGAAGCAAGUUCCCCUUUUGAACAGAGACAGCCAGCGAGGCAGCAGGAAGCCCAAGUGCUGAAGCUCAUCCUGCUGGCAGGGGGCAGGGGACAGCAGCCAGGGAAUGAGGGGUCCUAAGGAGAGACAUGGAGCCUCUGCGAGGCUGGGGGCCGCCACCCUGGAGCCCGGCACCCAAGGCUGACGCCCUGAGCCUGGCUGGAAGCUGAUUGCUGCGCUCACCUGUGACCGCCCAGCUGGAGACAAUAGACUUGCCUCCUGCUGCGCCCACCAAGAUAGCCGACCCACUACCUGCUGUGUCCAUCAAGCGCUGUGCCAACAGGGCAAUCUUGUGACUAUUGUGGGAGGGACAUUUCAAUCACAUGUGAAACGUCCUGUAUGGGGGUAUAUAACCACUCUGUACACCUCACUUUCUUGUGAUGUGGAUUAAGGCUGCCCCAGCUAGAGAAGCCCAAGGUGACCUGGCCUACAUGCCAAACUAUAUGACCCGGUGGAUUUUUAUGGUGUGAAUUAGGGCUGCCCCAGGGAGAGAAGCCCAGGGCAUCCUCACCUACAUGCCAAUCUAUAUGGCCAGACUUGUACCUAAAGUUAUAUGACCACACAAUAACCAGACCCCAUCUGCACUGAAAUCAUUUAAUGACUUUUUACAUCAUCUUUUCUUUUUCCAGUAAAAAUAAGUCGCGUACCCAUGCCUUAUAAAUUUAGCCCUAACCCUCAACUCAGGGCAGCAGCAGGAGCUCUGACUGCCCAUGGGUCCUGUCCCCAUGCCUGCAGCUCUUCACUGCCCAUGGGUCCUGUCCCCAUGCUAUUCCAUACUAUUCUCUAAAUAAAAGAGCACCACUGCCAGGCCUUGAGAGUUCAAGAAAUCUUUCUUUCGACUCCUCGGCUCACUGACCCCACAUCAUUUCUGGUGGCCUGUACGGGCAACUUGCUUCAUCGGCUUGUGAGCUCAAGUUCUGGAAGAGAGCGGAUUUCUCUGAGACGUCUCGGGGGCCUCUGAAAAUCCCCAGACAAACUCUCCGUCCUCUCCUAGGUCAAAAGAAAGCCUUUAUUCAGGACUCGAAUAUUUUGCAGGGUGGAGGAGAGCCUGUCAAAAAAUAUUAAAAGAUUUAAAACAUUUGUUCAGAUAGGAAACAACGCUCCCUGCAAAACCACGCUCAUGCAUCUAUUCAAAGUGGCAACAGAAAUAGUCAAGGGCAAACAGAGUUAAAGCAGUGAUUUUGCAUCAGCUUGCUUUUGAAAUUGAAACUUAUUUACUUAAUAAAUUCAUUUCAAUCUCAGUCACCUUGACCAUAAACAAAACUCCUCAGGGUUUUACUUCCACAAACCUUCUGUCACCUGCUUUUCACCUUCAGAAUUUGUCCCAGGUCUUCUUUCCUUUUUUAUUUUCUUUCCUAGUUCUUCAGGACAAAUUUGUCUUUCUUAACAAAACAAACAAAAAUAUCUCUAUUCUUUUUAUCUCCUUUACUGAAAACAUACAUUUUACUUUCCUUGUAUACAGGCUUUUUAGAAAUAUGUCUUUUCUCAUAGAAAAUUCCUCAGCAUACAUAAAACAUGUUUAUCAAUAGGGCCUAAGCAUCUUUCAGUUUCUUUGGGAUAAGAAAUCAAACGCAGACAAAUCUAUGCUUAGGAAUCAACUUUUAAUAUUUUAUCUUAUGUGGAAAUGACGUAGAUACCAAAUAAACUUUCAUUAUUUAAUUGAACUUAACAAAGCUCUGAAAAGCUUAAAUUUCCAAAAAGAUUUUGGAAGGUGUUUUUCAAGUAUGCAGACUAUAAAACAUAAUUGUUGUACUUAAAAACUCUUACCCAUUUUCAACAACUAAAUUUAGGCUGCCUACAAAAACCUCGUGAGGCAUCAAACAAAAUCAGCUAUUAUACCAAGUUAUUUUUGCUGAUAAGUUCUCUAACAGAGAUAACAUGAGUUCAUUUGACCAGUUGACCCAGGCUAUACGUCUGCAUUAUAUCCACCAAUGCUAACUUUGAGGACAUGCCUAUUUUAAAUCAAACCAGCAAACUUAAACAGGCUUUUGUUUACCAAAGAUCAUUUUGUAUCAUGCUGAACACCUUGAAACACCUUUGGGAUAGUAUUUCUUACAUUUAGAAUUUAUAGUAUGUAUUUAGUUUAAAUCAAUUAAAUAGAGCUCUGAAUUUUGGCCAUACAAUGCAGAUAUAAAACAUCAUACACAUCUAACAUACAUAUAGACACACAUACACAGAGUUCCCACUGUUAUUAUUUAAAAAUUACUGCCAUGAAUCAGGUACAGUAACACAAAGCACCCUAGGUAGGAAUCCAAAUUUCGUUUUUCCAAGUUGCAUACCAGUGGUUGCAGCAUGAGGCUCUGUUGAAUUUUCCCAUUGACUCCAACAAUGGCAACUGAGGAAUUAUUUAAUGAUGAAUAAGUGGCAUCAGUACCCAGCAGAAAGUCAGCCAAUUGUGUCCCCACUGUCCCUUGUACCCAGGGCUCAUGGGGGACUAUUGGAACGGGAGCCACCAGCAUGGCAAAGAACCCUUGGCCCCAUCAGUCGUCUUCCUCCUCAGAGUCUUGGACUCAAGAGGUCAGGGAGCUUGUUAGGAGGACCCCGAUUUUUCCCUCUCAUGCCUUCCUCCAGCUUAGGGCACUCAUUUUUCCAGGGCCCCUUUUCUUUGCAGUAGGCACACUGAUUUUUCCCCAAUAUUUGGUGCACCUCCCUAUGCAGCCCUGGCUCCCCUUUUCUGUCUCUCCAUCUGGGGGAGCUGUGUAAAGCCCUUGGCGGGCUUGGCUUUACGUUCCUCUCGAGCAUUAUAAACUUUGAAAGCAACUUUCAUCAAGUGACCAGAACUUGUGGCUGUGGUGCCUUCAACCUUCUUGAGCUUCCUUCUAAUGUCGGGGGCAUUUACCAUCAGGGGCUGUGUCACAUAGAAAUUAGGAUUAAAGAGAUUUAAAACGCUCAGGGUUGGCAUGUCCUCAUCAAGUUUUUCUUUUGGUAUCUGAGCAUCUUUGACUACUGGGAGCUUGGCUUUUCUUUGGACCGUCAGCUUGUUCCCUGGCAGGACACCCGAUCAUGCAACCACAUAAAACCCUGCACAGGUGGAAACUCAUCCCGUUUUCCAGACCUUUCACAACACAACUCCAGCUGUAAGAUGGUGUAAUAACUCAAAGUUCCAUUCAAUGUCCAUCUUUCCUCACUUUCCAAGACAUACAUCAGCCAGGUGGUGUUACAACAAAAUACCAUAUUUUUUGUCAUCGGCUUGUAACUAUGGAUUGACCAUCAGCCAAAAUCUUUCCCAAGGGGCUCCAUGUGGUGACUCCCAUGUCAACACAAAAGGGGACAGACAGACAGACAAACAACAACCAAAGAGACCAAACCAAACCAAACAAGCAUGCUUUUCCAAACACCCUCAGCCAGCAACGGAAGCCAAUACAAAGAAACCAAAACUCACAACACUUCAGUUCCAGCGUAGUCUGUGUCCUACUGACAGGUGUGCCCAAUAAAUGAAGUCGCAGCCUACAGAUCUUCCCAAAUGAGCAAAGACAAGGGACCUCGAUUGUGCACACCGGGGGACUGACCUAGUUGGGCUGGGGGAUCACGACUCCACACAAACGCUCUUUCCUUCUCCCCAAGGUAGUUUCCAGAGGUCUCCAGAGGUCCAGACGGCCACCCAGGGGAUGAAGCAUGAGGGAAGCCUCCCAGAGUGAAACCCGCUUUCCCAGCGGCUGGAGCGGCCCCUCUGGCUGUGCUGGGCACUCCGCAGAGGCCAGCCAAGGGAGCAGACCUGGACUCGACCUGGGUGAAGUCCAGUCAACUAAGUACUGGUCCCGGGUGAUCAGGCCUCCCUGAGUCUUUCUCCAGCUGUCCACUUCCACAACUGGGGCAGGCGCAGAGCACAACUCUGGAGCAUCCGAAGAAGCCGAGGGGGUCUCAGCGGGAACAACCCACAGGUCCCAUCUGGGUCGCCAACUGUGUAACCAAAAGUUCAGUCUCUGAACCCGAUGCCAAUCCAAAUAACGAGGACAGAGUCUUGAGGGGAAAGGAAAGAGCGUUUACUUUCUUUGCCCAGCAGGGGGAGCACAGCAAGGGCUGGUGCCUCAAGCACUGCUAGCUCCCCAUUAAGAAACGCGUAGGGGUUUUUAUUUGGGGUUUUAGGUAGGGGAGGGGAGCUGUGACCUUCUUGGUCAGCAUUUUCCCAUCGGCCCACGUUUGGGACAGCUUCCAAGGGCGGGGAGACAAAGGAUUCCACAGAUGGACGUCCCUGGCUGUUUAUCUCCAUGGUGGAUGGUGGACUCUGGGAAGCUUCUGUUUCUUGACGUUCUCUGGGCACUAAUUUCUCUGUGAAAGAACUUCAAGGUCCUGGGAUCAGCCACAGCUUUAGUGCGAGCCCAGCUUGAGCCCAUCUGGGCUUUAACAAUGUGUAACUUCUAUUUGGUUGUGAAGCUCAGGGAGUCAGAGGGUAAAGAAACACAUUUACGUAUGAGCGUAACUAAGGACCCAGGGAACUGGGAACGUAUGCUUGUAGUUUUAACCCAUAUAUGCUGGGCUCCCUGUAGGGGAACCCAUAUCAGGGCUGAUAUUACCUAAGAGCCAGUAAGACAAUGACCAACCAGUCACAAUUACCACUCCAGUCCCAUGGCUCCAUAAGGCAGCAAUUCCUAAGCCCACCUCAGUAAAAAACCCAGCAUCUCCAGUGUCAUAAAAUACUCAACCCCUAUCCCAUUAGACUUAAACACAAUUUCUCCCUCAUCAGUUUUCAAAAUAAAUAAAACCGCCAUAACCUCCAUCAAUAACCCCAAGGGGAAUAUCCCUGGGACAGUUAAAUCAGAAACUCAAGCCUCAGGACACUGCCCAGGAGCCGGAGCCCUUGGAUAACCAAAACCCACAUCCCCUCCAAACGGGGUGUGUGGAUAGGACACUCAGAUUCAUUAAAAAAGAUGUAAUGAAGGAAAGGGUUCUGAAAGGAGUUAGUUGUGUAUAAGUCUGGUGUGCAGGGGCCGUGGGAUUCUCCUAGAGAUAGAAUUGUUGUGAGGAUGUCUGGCAUCAUGCUCUUGGCAUGUUCUGCCGGGAAGAAGCAGGCAAGUGGACUCGCUGUGUAUUCAACAUUGAAGCCAGAGACGCGUUCGACUCUCCCUGUGUUCAAUCAAUGGAACUCGCUUGGUUCCAUUGCCAGGGUUGAAAUGAAUCAUCCUGUGCCUAGUAGUCAAGAUGAAAAAUUAGUCAUAAGUAUUCUUGGGUAAAAAUUAAUGUUGAAAGUGAAAACGAUGGUACGUUAGCAGGACGGACAGUAGAAUAAUUGCUCACGUUACUUCCCACAAAACUGUUGGUGCUGCUGCUCGUAGGGGUCUAAUUAGUGCACGUGUUGAAUUUGAAGCUGAGGCUGAUCAGAGAAUGGAAUAAACAGCUAGGCCUGACAGGGUUCGUGCAAACAGUAGGCCUAGGCUUCUGUUAAUCAGUGGGCGUGGUGUGGGUCGUGGAAUUCAUCUUGUUGGGGCCAGAGGGAGGGGCGGGAUUGGUGCAACGAGAAAUUGGGAUGUUGACGGUGUUGGUGGUGUGGCAGUUCUUUAAUGAAUAGUCUGACGGCACCAGCGAUGGGCUGCAGCAGGCCACGGGGGCCGACCGUGUUGGUCCUUUGAGGAGUCCUAUGCAGCCUAACGCUUCUCACUGGACCAUCGUGAGGAGAGCAGUGGCGAGCGGGAUGGGGGUGAUGAGUCGGAGAACGCUGAUUACAAGCGCGUUGUCAGGAAGAGGAAUCGAACCUCUGGCAAUAAAGCUUUAAAUUUUACAAGAUGCCCAGCUCUGGCAUCCUGACAUACCCCGUUCCUGGGCAGGGCUGGGUCUAAAUUAAUUAGAUUAAGAUUAUAUCAUCCAUUAGUUUGAAGGUGCUUUUGAAAAGUGGGCCUAUUUCUCUCGUCCUUUCGUACGGGGAGAAAUGUGGAAUCAAUAGAAACCAAUUGGAUUAUUGCUGAUGAACUCAGAUCUCAGAGCACCUUAAUCAUUGAACAAACGACCUGUGAACAG
Equus caballus (horse) is the source of this 6166-nucleotide long non-coding RNA. The record is from Ensembl. Lineage: Eukaryota; Metazoa; Chordata; Mammalia; Perissodactyla; Equidae.